UGUCGCACAGUGUAAUGUGCCCAUGUAAAAGGGCAAAUUAACCCUUUUUUUCACUCAUCACUGAACCAAAAAAUAAGUACAUAUAUAAAUGGAAUCAGCCUUUAAUUAGGCAUCGAGUUCCAGCCGGAGGAGCAUGAGUAAACUGCUGCUGGAAUGAUGACUUAAUUUACGAGAUUUAUUCAGCUGUACAAACGACUUUGGCGUCAUGAAUUACGCAUUACAUUUCAUUUCUCUGCAAUUUAGUCUGCCAGGAUAUUCGGUGCUCGGGAUUCAGGCUGCACCUGCAACUGGUUUGGUAUGCUUUCCCCUAAAGAACCCAUCUGCAUUCUCCCUUUUGCCAGAAUGGACACGAAUUUGACCGCCCGUGAACUUAGGCUUUUUGCCAGGAGAAUUCUGGAGAAAUAUGCCUGCCAUUUAUUCGCUUUGUUUUCUACUUUGCUUCCCCGCUUGAAAUUCCCCUUACUUUUGAGCCAAAGUUUAAGCAGAGUUAUGCGAACCGUGUGCAGUUGGUUUCGGCCAUAUUAACUCCACUCAACUCUAUUAGGGUAAACUACUUAGCGGAGGUCCCCCGUACUUCCCCCCAUUUGACUCUCGAAACUCCACGAGUGAGUGCGCCUUGUAUUUCACAUUUUAUUCGAGCAUUCGAGUCGAGUCUCAACGUGUGGCUUUUAUGGUUAUUGCUUUUGGGGUCUUGGUCUGAUGGAGCAAGAAGAAGAGGAAGAAGCUCAACCUCAACUCUUUCCUCACAUUUCACUUGAUGAAAUUGUGUUCUUUAAAACAUUCAACUCCUCCCCUUCGAGUGUGUGUAUUUUAUGGCCAGCUUUUAGGAGCUGUUAAGACAAACAUGCAAGCGUAAAAAAGAGAAAUGAGCGGGUAAUUGAUCUAUAUAAUUUAUAGUAUAUAAUAUCCUCUUUCCAUACCUCUCUUUAUUUUUUUUGAACCCCCGUCAACUGUCAAGGUGAAAUGAACUGAGUAUAAUCAUGAGUUCAGUCGAAUUUAAUUUCAAGGCAGCUGCAGUUCAAUUGCUACCUGCAUUUUUCACCCUUUUAUUCUCACUUUUUUGCAGCUCAAUUUCAGGGAAACAGACCCGCAUUUCAGCUGCGGGUUUGCUGCAUAUUUUACGUAUUUUUUUUUAGCCUUAUUAAAUAAUUGUUCUGCAGCGCAGCUCUAGGCAUUCGACUCUAAAUCAAAUGGAGACAUCUCGCUACUAUUCGGUUUUUAUGGCUCCGCAGCAGCAGGGAGCUGAAUCCAAUUAAAAACUUUAUUGCUCGAAUUGAUUUUUAUUGUACACUUCUUCGGCUGCAGAUAAAUAGAGAAAGGGAGAUACAAUUUCGAAAGUCAAAGAGGGAAAGAGGUUAUCAUCGCUGCUCCCAAAAAAAUUGUGUCAAUUGGUUUUAUUUCCCUCUUUCGUUUUCAGUGUUUUUUUUUUUUUUAGUGCCGGCUGACUUUCCAUCUCUCGUUAUCUAUAGGAUGGUUUUAAUUAUGACUGUGGGGGUGGGGAGAUACCACGCCCACGCAUUCACACACAUGCCCCCAAAAAAAUCCAUAAUUAAUAAAUUAAACCAAUUAAAUACAAAAGAGUCGAUUUGAAGUGGCGUUUCAUUAAAAGCGUAAUUGCAAAGAGAAAUUAAUUUGGUGUUUCUGGCUUCAUGAAAGCUCAAUUAAUCUGGCAUUGCGGAUUUAUGUGCAUUAUUAUUAAUAUGGGAGGCCUGAGUUCCGCACUUGAAAGUCCGUACUCUUUGGCUUAAAAAGAAAAGUUCAUGGCAAUUAUAAUUCUCCUCAACUUUUAUGCAAAAUGCCAGUUCUUAGUCCUUGGUGCAUGCAAAUUUUGCCAGCAAAUGCACUCGGCUUUUAACGGCUUAGGAAAUGCAUAUUAUUUUAAAGCAUAUUUCCCUGUACAUAAGUUUUUGUGUACCUUGCCUUGUGCAUUUUUGUCAAUCUCUUGUUGGCCUUUGUCUGCCUUCAACAGGAACACAAAAAAAAGGGCUACAGAAACAAAAACCCUUUUUGCAUUAUUUGAAUUCCUCCCCUAACAUUUUACCCCAUCCACUCACUUUUUACUGGCCUUUUCAUCCUGAAAAUAUUUUUUGUUGCUGGGCAAAUAACCAAAAAGAGAAAAAACAACUCAAAUUGAAAACUGAAAAGAGUUGAUUUGCUUUAAUUGAGCAAACAUUUUGUACAAAUUUUGUUAUUCAAUUGAGUUUGCCAUUUCUGUAAUUACGCUCGACGCGUUCAUUGAAUCAAAUUAAACAAUUAUAAUUCAGUCAGAUUUGUGCGUUCACAAAUUUCCUAGAAAUCCCCGCUUUAAAAACUGGAGCUCUACGUCCGAAGAAGGAGAAAUGGAAAAAUGGCUUAAUUGAGUUUAAUUGUUGGAGCGGACCUACGAAAUCAACUCGACAAGUCACGCAGCAGGCAUUUACAUAAGAUUAACGACAAACAAAAACGAGAAAAAAAUAGAGGAAAAAUUCAAAAAUGAAUUUGAUGCACUUUGUUGCGAGUCAAAAGUGAUCCAAAUUCGUGGAUAAGAAGGGAAAGAGCGGGGGGCAUUGACGAUAAAGCCCAAAGGAGGAGCAGCAGGCUUAGAUGGCGACAGUUUCUCCGGCUCCUUCGGAAAAAAUAAAAACAACUCGCUUUUGCCAUAUGCAAAUUGCAGUUUGUUGGCCGAUAAAAAAUUAGCAGUUCGAAGGAAAAGACUCCGUAAACAUUGGUACAGUGAAAAAUGUAUGGCCAGAAAAGACAUGACAGACUUGUGCGAGGUGAAGAAAUAUUAUGUAGUAUACACAGAGAAAAAUGUUCGGUUUAAAUGAAUACGUCUUCAUAAAGUAUAAACAAAAUGUUUAGUUUAAUAAGAAAAUAUUUAACCAAAGAAAAUUGUUAUUUUGUAAUGGUUUAUUGAUAUUUUAAAAGAAAUUUAGAUGAAAGUUUGAAGAAAUCAAAUAGUAUAGUAAAUAUAAUAAUCUAUCUUAAA
Long non-coding RNA from Drosophila ficusphila, 2968 nucleotides. RefSeq lists it as uncharacterized. The transcript has 2 exons. The record is from RefSeq and is a predicted model, not a curated record. NCBI's taxonomy places the organism in Eukaryota, Metazoa, Arthropoda, Insecta, Diptera, Drosophilidae.